AACGAACGCUGGCGGCAUGCCUAACACAUGCAAGUCGAACGAGACCUUCGGGUCUAGUGGCGCACGGGUGCGUAACGCGUGGGAACCUGCCCUUAGGUUCGGAAUAACUCCCCGAAAGGGGUGCUAAUACCGGAUAAUGUCUUCGGACCAAAGAUUUAUCGCCUUUGGAUGGGCCCGCGUUGGAUUAGCUUGUUGGUAGGGUAAAGGCCUACCAAGGCGAUGAUGGAUAGCUGGUCUGAGAGGAUGAUCAGCCGCAUUGGGACUGAGAUACGGCCCAGACUCCUACGGGAGGCAGCAGUGGGGAAUAGUGCACAAUGGGCGGAAGCCUGAUGCAGCAACGCCGCGUGCGGGAUGACGGCCUUCGGGUUGUAAACCGCUUUCGCCUGUGACGAAGCGUGAGUGACGGUAAUGGGUAAAGAAGCACCGGCUAACUACGUG
RNAcentral lists this ribosomal RNA (438 nucleotides) under uncultured bacterium. RNAcentral's name for it is "partial 16S ribosomal RNA". It matches the Rfam family "Bacterial small subunit ribosomal RNA", at positions 29 to 507 of the family's 1533-position model. The record is from RNAcentral.